UGUGUGUGUGUGUGUGUGUGUGUGUAUGCAUACAUAUCGAUAAUUGGAGAUUUUUUUUAAAUAGCAAAAAAAAUAGUCUCCAUAUGUAUGUGCUGGUGCUCCUAAAACUUUAAUGUGUAGUUUUAAUUUUCAUGACAAUGUCUGUGAAAACUUUAUAUGAAUAUUUAAAAAAUACAAACAAAUACUUUCUGACCUUGAAAGAAAGGACAUGAAGAUGUGUGCCCAACAGCUUGUUUUCAUCUAUAAUUUCAUAAGGACUUUUAAUAUACCAUUACCAUGCUUGCAUGCAUCCAUGGGUUAAAGGGCUCCUAAUGCAUACUGACAGGAUAAAGAUGAAAAGGUUUAUCCUGUCAAUAAAGUGUGGAUGGAUUGAAAAAUCUUAAGUAGACACUUAUGGGAGGAAUCAAAAAGCUCCAUCCAUGAUCUGGGGAUCAUAGGUCACUGGGAUGAUGCAUUUUAUUCAGUGUGGUUAUGCUUUGAAGAUGAUUCAAGGUUUCUGCAAUUGUCAAUGGCAGGAGUACCUGCCACUAUCUCAAAGCGUCCUGUAGCAUAUUGGUUAUCUCAAACUCUUCUGCUGAAAGGUGUAAAUGUUCAACUUUUUAAAAAGUAAUUUAAAUGUAUGUGGUUAUUUGGAGGAUCUAAUUGUAAGUGAAUGACAGUAACAAAUUCUUGGUUAAGGUUGAUAUAUUCUCCUUAACUAAAGUCAUUGUGCCUACAUUAUACAGUGUAUACUAUUUUGCACCUGUCUCUCAUUAGUUCUACUUGUAUAUUUUAUGAUAAUGUUGUUAGGCAUAAGUUUUUAGUUGAGUACAAGAGCGGUUAAAAUUCUGUAUCUACAUUUUCUUGACUUCAACUAUAACCUUGAUGUUAGUUUAACCCCUGCAGAAGUGAUAUAUAUGUCAAUACAGCAUUUUUGGUUUUGAUUCAAAUAUAGAAAAUACAAGAAGUGUUCAUUUCUAAUGUGGUCUGACACAUCGUGGGCUUCUUGGCACUGUAUCAUGUGCUUGGACUCUAUUAGAAUAGUUGCAAAGUAAAUUAUAGCAUAUAAAUCAGUGAAGGGGUUGAGACAAUAUAUUAUGUUCAUGUAAUAUAAAUCAAGUUUUAAAUUAUUUUUUUAUGAAGUCAAUAAAGAUGAUUCAAUUCUUUAAAAGUAAAUCUUUUGUGUAAUUUUAUGAGAAAGCAGCUAUUAAAAUAUAGUGAUUGAAGUCUAUAAGGCAAUUUAUAUUCUAUAUUUAGUUUUCCAUUCUGCAUAAUAAACUCAAUAAAUAUAUUAAUUAGAAAAUCAUUUAAGACCAACAUUAUUUUGUUGCUUUUAAAAACAUUUCAUUUCUUUAAGCCAUAAGAAUGCAUAAAUUACACAGGGCAUGGCCUCAUGAGUAAUGUCAACAGGUUUUGCUGAAAUAAGAGAACACAUCUAGAAAUGUAUGGCAGUAAUAUUAAUCUAUAAUAUCUUUUGCAUGAUUUGUACAUUGACACUGUAUGAAAUGAGCACAGUGAGGUUUUUUUGUUGUUGUUGUUGUUAUUGUUGUCACAUCCAAAGAGCUGGGGGAGAAAAUAUAUUAAAAUGUAUUUAUAAUCACUAUUUUGAAAUAAAGUAAAGAAAACACAUUGUAUUGUUUUUACCCUGAUUUGAUUAUUAGUAAUCAAACAGAAAGGAACUGUUUUAAUGACUUUUGUUUGCUUUUAAUAACAUCAAGGUAUUAGAGAAAAUUUAUUAAAUGCCAUUUUUAUGAAAGUAUUAAUAAAAUUGUUUGCUACAAUGGUAUUUCUGAAGCCACAGUUUGUUAAAUAUAUUUAUCUUUCCAUUAUUUUUCAGAAGAAAUAAAGCAGUAACCGAACUGAUCUUUUCAUCUAGAUUUGAGGGUCUUACGUGCUAUGAAACAUACUUUGGGAAAUCCCGACUAAUUGGAAUCUCAAGUACCUCUAACUCCAAGUAUUUAUGAUUUCAUGAUUCUAUUAUUGGCCAUGAAGACCCAAGAGAAGGCUACUAUGUGUAUACAUCCUUAUCCUAUGUUCUUGGCCUAAUUAAUCUGUCUGGAGUAUUUACUGUCUGCCACUUGGGUUCCAGUGCAAGAAAAAAGGUCCUCGC
Myotis brandtii (Brandt's bat) is the source of this 2089-nucleotide long non-coding RNA. RefSeq lists it as uncharacterized. The record is from RefSeq and is a predicted model, not a curated record. NCBI's taxonomy places the organism in Eukaryota, Metazoa, Chordata, Mammalia, Chiroptera, Vespertilionidae. The transcript has 3 exons.